Molecule: ribosomal RNA, 2010 nt
Filed under: Kliecope mihoensis
Lineage: Eukaryota; Metazoa; Arthropoda; Ostracoda; Halocyprida; Polycopidae
Description: SSU rRNA
Rfam family: Eukaryotic small subunit ribosomal RNA
Source: RNAcentral
UAGUCAUACGCUCGACUCAAAGAUUAAGCCAUGCAUGUCUAAGUAUGAGCACGUUUACGUGCGAGACCGCGAAUGGCUCAGUAAAUCGGUUGUGGUCUCUUGGAUCCGAUAUAAGUAAAUUUAUAUGUUACUUGGAUAACCGUGGCAAUUCUAGAGCUAAUACAUGCAGUUGUAAGCGGCGCCCUCGCGGGCGUCGUGCAUUCAUUAGGUAAAGACCAUUGGGACUGCGUGUCGCUUAACCGCGUGCACGUAUCUGUCCCUCGACUGGUGACUCUAAAUGACCACGCAGAUCGCACGGCCUCGCGCCGGCGACGGUUCUAUCGAGUGUCUGAACUAUCAGCCUGGCGGUAGGUUAAGAGCCUACCGUGGCUGUGACGGGUGACGGGGAAUCUGGGUUCGAUUCCGGAGAGGCAGCCUGAGAAACGGCUACCACAUCCAAGGAAGGCAGCAGGCGCGCAAAUUACCCAAUCCCGGCACGGGGAGGUAGUGACGAAAAAUAACGGUGCGGCGCUCGCAUGAGCGUCCGUAAUCGGAAUGAGUCGGCUCUAAAUCCUUGAACGAGGAUCUAUUGGAGGGCAAGUCUGGUGCCAGCAGCCGCGGUAAUUCCAGCUCCAAUAGCGCAUAUUAAAGUUGUUGCGGUUAAAACGCUCGUAGUCGGAUUUCGGUAGCGGCCGGUGCGGUCCGCGCUUGUUUCGCGGUUACUGCAUCGAUCGUUACGGAACGAGCCCGAGUCGCCCGUCCGAUCCUCUUCAUCGAGUGUCGGGGGUGGCGGGCACGUUUACUUUGAGAAAAACAGAGUGCUCAAAAGCCGGCAAUAGCUAAACGUUAACGCUCGAAUGUCGUUGCAUGGAAUAAUGGAAUAGGACCUCGGCGUGUGCGCGUGCCAUUCUCACUUAUGUGCGGGUGGUGCGUGUAUGCAAUCCCCAAUUCUGUUGGUCUCAGGGGCCGAGGUAAUGAUAAACGGGAGUAGUGACGGGGGCAUUCGUACCGCGGCGCGAGAGGUGAAAUUCUUGGACCGUCGCGGGACGCACCGAGGCGAAAGCGUUUGCCAAGAACGCUUCCAUCGAUCAAGAGCGAAAGCUAGAGGUUCGAAGGCGAUCAGAUACCGCCCUAGUUCUAGCCAUAAACGAUGCCGACCGCUGAUCCGCCGUGGUUACUAGACCGACCCGACGGGACGACCCCGGGAAACCAGAGUUUUCGGGUUCCGGGGGAAGUAUGGUCGCAAGGCUGGAACUUAAAAGCAUUGACGGAAAGGCACCACCAGGAGUGGGGCCUGCGGCUUAAUUUGACUCAACACGGGAAAUCCUACCAGGCCCGGACACCUUUAGGAUUGACAGACUGAUGGCUCUUUCUCGAUCAGGUGGGUGGUGGUGCAUGGCCGUUCUUAGUUCGUGGAGCGAUCUGUCUGGUUUAUUCCGAUAACGAACGAGGCUCCAGCCUACUAACUAGGCCGAACAAAUCCGAGGUGCAUAAAUAUAAGCGUCUGGCACUCGGCGCGCAAUCGAUUCGUGGCGUGUGUUGGCCAUGCGUUCGCUUCGGUGGGCGUGUGGUUGCACGCGUUGCGGGCGAUUGUGUUGUUGUGGUGUCGGGUUUCCUCGGUCGUACUUCUUAGGGGGACAAACGGCGUUUAGCCGAAUGAAACGGAGCAAUAACAGGUCUGUGAUGCCCUCAGAUGUCCUGGGCUGCACGCGCGCCACAAUGGAGGUCUCAGAGCGUUUUCCCUGCCCCAUAGGGCCGGGUAAUCGCUGAAAGUCCGCUUCUUAGUCGGGACAGGGAGCUGAAACGUUCCCUUGCACAAGGAAUUCCUAGUAGGCGCCCCUCACUAAUCGGGGACGAUUGCGUCCCUGCCCUUUGUACACACCGCCCGUCGCUACUACCGAUUGGGUGGUCCAGUGAGGCCUUUGGACCGUGUGACGUCGCCGGCGCCUUUCGGGGCAUCGGUCGUCGCGUGGGAAUCUGUCCAAACUUGAUCGCCUAGAGGAAGUAAAAGUCGUAACAAGGUUUCCGUAG